GAUGAACGCUGGCGGUAUGCCUAACACAUGCAAGUCGUACGAGAGUUUUUAAUUCUAGUGGCGGACGGGUGAGUAACACGUGAGAAUUUACCUUUAGGAGGGGGAUAACAAUUGGAAACGAAUGCUAAUACCCCAUAUGCUUUUGAGUGAAAUGGAUUUAUAAUUAUCCGCCUAAAGAAAAGCUCGCGGCUGAUUAGCUUGUUGGUAAGGUAAGAGCUUACCAAGGCGACGAUCAGUAUCUGGUUUGAGAGGACGAUCAGACACACUGGAACUGAGACACGGUCCAGACUCCUACGGGAGGCAGCAGUGGGGAAUUUUCCGCAAUGGGCGAAAGCCUGACGGAGCAAUACCGCGUGAGGGAAGACUGCCUAUGGGUUGUAAACCUCUUUUUUCAGGGUAGGAAUAAAAUGACGUGUACCUGAAGAAUAAGCAUCGGCUAACUCCGUG
Molecule: ribosomal RNA, 447 nt
Filed under: uncultured bacterium
Lineage: Bacteria
Description: bacterial SSU rRNA
Rfam family: Bacterial small subunit ribosomal RNA
Source: RNAcentral